GUUUUGUAAUGGUGUUUGGGUAAUCUUUGCAGGUUCACUAAUGAUCUACCGAUGGAUGUAGAAGUCUAGAGAAGUAUCUGAAAAACAAACAGAUAUUGAGUUUGGUGUUUAGAACAUUUCGAUCUGUCCAAUUGUUGAUUUUAAUUUGGUUUUGGGGGGAAAGGAAUUUAGUCUUUUUAAGUCUCUUUUCUUUUCAUUUUCAGGUGGAACUCUGCAGGUUUAAUAGCGCAAGAAAACCAUCUUUCUUUGGAUCUCUGAAUCUUUGUUUACAAGUCUGAUGGAUUCUGGGAUAUCUGCUACAAAAAGGGUUUAAAAGUGUUUAAAUUAAACUAAAGAUCAGUCUACAGAAACUCCUCGCACACAAAUACAUCUUUGACAGACUAAUGCCAAACAGACUUCCCCCUGCUUCUUCAGAUCUCCUCUCCCCCUCGUCUGUGUGAACAUGCACAGACAUGUUCGGAAAGACCAGAAGGGAAACCCCCAAUGCAUGCAGCGGAAGCACUUUGCAUCCUGAAUCACAGGAUCUGUAAGCACAAAGGACAUAUGACUUACAGUACAUAUCUUUGAUUUUCAGGAUUUCCUUGAUGUCUGGUAUCCAGAUUUCUGAGCAGGUGAGGGGGUUAAAACCAAGCUGAAUUUGGGUGUAGGAGGCGGGCAGAUGGACAGACUAAGAAAAUCAGACAGAGACCUUUAUGAAUAUGGAUGGCUGUAACGAAUACGCUAAAAUAGGUCAAAGCAGUGAUCUGGCUGCACGUGUGCUCUUUAGAAAUUCCAUAUAAAUUUGCAUGUGGGUCAGCUCUUUCUUUGAGGAACUGUUUGACCUUUGACCAUGCCUCUGUUUCCCCCUACAACCCACAUGCCCACACCCAUUUCACCUCUUCCCAUCCGGGACAGCUGUCAGCAUGGACCUGGCCAAAGAAAAGGGACCCAUCUGUCGUCUUCCUUCAAAGGUUCUGGGUGAGUGGACCAAAAGAUGAUGUAAGCCAGUAUCAAGAGUCAGGUGUUGCAGAUGGACACACUAAUGGCCAUAUAUCCAGGAUAAUCGUGCCCUUAAAGCAAGUGUCAUUGUUUUCUGAUCAAUGUGCUUCUUUGGAAAUUGGAUAAAUCUGUCCUCUGACUGUUCAGUGAAGGAUUGAACGAGUAGGGAAGGAGAUGGAAGACUGGAGUCAAGCAACACAGCUGCACUCACAAAAGGUACUUGUGGAGAAAGGAACACUGCUUGCAUCGUGCUAUCCCCAAACGGAGGAAGGGGGGAAAUGACUUUUUAAAGCCCAGGAACAGUCAAUGUUUACAAGAUGAAGAGUUCUUUUUUUUUUUUUUUAUAUUCUGUGUGUUUUCGGCAACAGUUAUUUUGCUGUCUGCGAUAUACUUGGGAUUCAGCUGUCAUUCAGCCUGAGAAUUAAAUAAGGCACAGGGCUUCAUUAUGCUUUCUGUCAGCUAUCAUUAAUUAAACAUCUGAAAAUGGAACAGCAACUUGACCCAAAGUCUCCCAGACACAAGUCAUUCUAGACCUACAAAAAUAGAAAAAAAGUGUUUUAAUUAUCUGAAAAAUGUAUUUAACAAACAAAAAACUGAAUCCUCCCUCAUGUAAUUUUUCUGAUUUGUAACUUCUUCCUAUUUCUCUUUCCCUCUGCCUCUGACCUGGAAAUCCAUCCAUGCAUUGCUCCAUUUAUUUUCCAUCUCCUAUCUAAAAUUGAGGUUUGCCUAGAAGAUCUCCCUCUCCCUAGCCAAUUUGUCUACAUAUUAAAUACUUUGAAACGUGACUCUUUUGGCCAUCACCACUGAUUUAGCCAGAAAGUCUUUAGGUAAAAUUUAAAGAAGUGGUUUGCUUCAUGCACCACCCCAGAGUGUGGGUGAUUGCAACUUGUUGUCCUUGACAAAGGUCCCACACAAAGGUCUUUAGCUUGGCUCCCUUAUAUGCAGUUGGACAAAUAGCUUAAAGGUGAACUAAAAUUAAGGCAAUCACUUGUGAUAAAUAUCUUUUUUUUAAUGUUUCAAGUUGUUAGAACUGUCAUUAUAUGUGUGAUAGAUGAAUAACACAUCGUCACUAUAUGGUUGUGUUUUUGUUUUUUGUCUAUUACAAUGAGCAGAAAGCCACCUAAUGCUAUAAACUGAAAUUGAUUACAUUUUACUGCUACUGCCCAGAGGUUGUAGAAAGUUCUACAUAAAAGAGAGAUACUGUUGUGCUGCAGUGAAAAGGAGAACCCAUUUCAUACUGAGCUGUUUUUAUAAGAGUGCUACACUGACACCUGCUGGACGGAGUAAAGAUUGUUGAGGACUCGAUAAAACAACUGGUCUAUCUUUACAGCAAAUCAUAAAAAAUAUGAAAUAGACACAAUAGAUAAAUAAAGUUUUUUCAAACCUUAAGAACAUUUUUUUAGUUCCAUUACUAUUCAUUUUCUGUUAAAGUCAUUGUCAAAUGGAACUGCUUUGAUAUAACAAGAAAAAACCCUGAAACACCAUUGCUAAUACCAUUUUGUGUGACAGUAGGUGUCUUACUGAGUGCUUAUAUAAAUAACAUUUUCCGUACAUAGGUGGAGAGUUGUGUAGUUAUUGUUGAGAAAUUUGUGCGUCAUCCGGUUUCCCGAAGGCAGAAAAAUGAUCGUCAGUUGGUUGGUCAGCCAACUUAAAUAUUUAAAAGGAUAGAAAUCAAAGUCAAACGUCUGAAAAGGUAAGCAGAGAAGACAGGGCUUAUAGUUUUGCAAUGCCAGUGAACUGUAAUAGUGAUUUGUUUUAUUUCAGACUCAAUACGUAAUCAAUAAAAUCAGAAAGAUUGAAAAAUUACCCAAAAAAAAUCAAAACAUAAAAACUGGCAGGUCUGUGUACAGAUUAAUAGACAUACAUGAAUCUCUCCUAAAAGCAUGAUAGGGAGGAAAACAUAACUUUUAUGAGGAUUCCCAACACCAGUAAAGAGUGCUAAGCAUUCUAGAUCAAUCUAAGUACUAUCUCAGAACAGCUGGAGGUCUUCCUCCAGCUGUUUUGAAGAGCAACUUCAAGGAUAUUUAAUCAAAGCCAUGCCACUGAUAGUCAUCAUUAUUAAAAGCAACCUGCAACUCAUUCCUGUAAUUGAUCCAAAGGUGAGCUGGGUUGUUUUGAUGCUGAUAAAGUGAGUCAAGAGAUUAAAAAAGCUCAAGAACAAAGACCUAGCAGAAAAGAAAUCUAAUAGCAUGUAAUGUAUUAUAGAGCAAAUACCUUCAAGGGAAAGUACAAGAAGUGACAUCAUAUGCACUGUUGGCUCUAAAAGUACCUCACUGGGGCUUAAAGAUUAAUAAACAGUUGAUCCUGGUUUAAUAGAUUUCAUAUUACCGGUAGGCCUAAAUUGGCUUGGUGAUUUCUUUGAUGGGGUUUUAACAGAAACAAUAAAUAUAACUAUAGUAAUAGUAUUUUGAUACAAGGCAUGGUUUUAAAUUGAACCCUUUUCAUAGGCAAUAAAAUAAACACAUUUGGAAAAUAAGAACACUGCCUUCUUUAUAUAUUUCAUUGUUAAC
Long non-coding RNA from Oryzias sinensis (Chinese medaka), 3488 nucleotides. The record is from Ensembl. NCBI's taxonomy places the organism in Eukaryota, Metazoa, Chordata, Actinopteri, Beloniformes, Adrianichthyidae.